Molecule: long non-coding RNA, 1580 nt
Organism: Pteropus alecto (black flying fox)
Lineage: Eukaryota; Metazoa; Chordata; Mammalia; Chiroptera; Pteropodidae
Exons: 3
Source: RefSeq, a predicted model, not a curated record
AAUAAACUAGAUUCUCAGGUUGCAGGGGAGCUGAAUUAUUUCUUUUAAAAUGCAAAUAAGGAGAAAACCAAUAAUAAUAUUUGCCUCCUAAGAGGGAACUGGGUGGCUGGGGCCUAGAAGAGGGCUUGCUUUCGAUUUUCUCUCUUUCGGAUGGUUUUGCUUUUGCAACUAUUACCUAUCAACGAGUAAAUAAAAGUGUUUAAAUCAAAAGCUAUUUUAGAUUGUGGAUAAUUUAAAUUCCAUAAAUGGAAGUCAUAAGAAUCUCUGUAGAUAAUGACAUGAAAAUGUGUACUAAAAUAAUCUCGGAAUUUGGACAGUAUGAAACAGUGGCUCUCAGCCUUCUUGUCAUUGACAUACUUGUGACAAAUGAAUGUGAAUGAGGGUGGCAGGGAGUGGGUGUGACAUGGGGCUGUUUAUCAGAAGUGAGAGAGUCACAUUCUUGUUUGAAGAAUUCCCCUGUGAUUCAGAGCUGACUCCCUCCCAGUCUUCCGUCCCUCCUAGCCUUUGAGAAUCACUGCUGUAAGACCGGAGGAGAAGGGGAGCCUUGUGGGCAGUGACAAGUGGAGAACUGCUUUUAAAGAGAGCAAAGAAAAACAGAACACAAGAAAAGAGCAGGAAUAAGAACAUCCAAGGAAAGCAACUCUUCAUUAUAAAUUGUAAUCAUAAGAUUAUCCAAAAUAUUCUGGACAUACAUCAUCUCUCCAAGAGUAAAUGGAACUCCUCUCAGUAGAAAAGCCAGCGGUCGAACUCUGCGUCUCAGAACCAGACCAAGAGCUGUGGGCUUCUGGGGGCAUGGGGCUUCCACCUGAUGAAAAUGAUGACGUAGAUUCACUGCAGAAACAAAACUUCUUCAAAGUGUCUAUACUUCUGUGGAACUUCCUGAACUUCAGAGUUCAGUGUAGUAACAUUUGACCACAGAAUUCAGAAGAAUUCUGAAAAGGAAUUUUAACUCAUUCACUCAAUGACUGCCCAAGGUCACGAAGAAGAAAGAGAUGGAAUUGGUUCCAAGACCCAGGCCACCUGACCUGCAUGUCUCUCCAGGGACCUCAAAUUACUGACAUUGUGGACUAAAAACAGAAUCUGCAAAAUUUGCCUUUCUUUUUCUUUUAAUGUCUUGUUUUGAUUCUUUGGUUUCUGUCCUCCAACCAUGUGUUGUACAGUUAUUUCACGCAAAAUAUUGAGUAUCUUUAAUCGCCUAUAAACUCUCAAUUGCUACAUAAACCAGACAGUCUAAGAAAGUGUACACAACUUACAGAUGUGUCCUAUAAAUACUUUAAAAUGUGAAUGUGGCAGAAUACUUACUAAGCUUUUAUUUCAUAAUGCAAGACAUAUAAUAGUCAUGUAAUAGUUCCUAUCUCUACUGCUUAUAUUCUAGAGAUGAUAAAAUUCAGCUAGUUGGUACAUUUAAGACUGUUCAUUUGGAGACAGGACUUAGUUUUUAGAGAAGACGGAAGUGCAACGCUGAACCAUAUUGUAUUAAUUUGUUGGUGCAUGAGAGUUAAGGCUGAGUCCCAAUCUCUAUGUCAUUCCAUUCUAGUUGUCAAAGAAAUGAUUCAAUUAUCGUCUUUUACUUUCAAAAA